RNAcentral lists this ribosomal RNA (697 nucleotides) under uncultured fungus. RNAcentral's name for it is "eukaryotic LSU rRNA". It matches the Rfam family "Eukaryotic large subunit ribosomal RNA", at positions 1 to 649 of the family's 3401-position model. Lineage: Eukaryota; Fungi. The record is from RNAcentral.
ACCCCCCCCAGCGUGACGCACUCGCGCANCCGGGGGGUACCGCCGCCUUNCAAGCCUACAAGUUGACCUCGGAUCAGGCGGGGAUACCCGCUGAACUUAAGCAUAUCAAUAAGCGGAGGAAAAGAAACCAACGGGGAUUGCCUCAGUAACGGCGAGUGAAGCGGCACCAGCUCAAAUUUGAAAUCUGACCCCCUCGGGGCCCGAGUUGUAAUUUGAAGAGGAAGCUUCGCGAACGGCACCGCCCCAAGUUCCUUGGAACCGGACGCUACAGAGGGUGAGAGCCCCGUAUCCGGGCGGAUGCCCGCCGCGUGUGAAGCUCCUUCGACGAGUCGAGUUGUUUGGGAAUGCAGCUCUAAUCGGGAGGUAAAUUCCUUCUAAAGCUAAAUACCGGCCGGAGACCGAUAGCGCACAAGUAGAGUGAUCGAAAGAUGAAAAGCACUUUGAAAAGAGAGUUAAAAAGCACGUGAAAUUGUUGAAAGGGAAGCGCUCGCGACCAGACUCGGCCGGGGGGGAUCAGCCGUCGCUCUGCGGCGGCGCCCUCCCCCUCGACCGGGCCAGCGUCGGUUUGGGCGGCCGGACAAAGGCGGCGGGAACGUGGCUCCCCUCGGGGAGUGUUAUAGCCCGUCGCGGAAUGCGGCCAGCCCGGAUCGAGGACCGCGCUUCGGCUAGGACGCUGGCGUAAUGGUCGUGAGCGGCC